UAUUUCCCCAGCGAAACGUCAGACUCUUACUAACAUGGGCAAGGAAAGGACCAGCGUCAACAUGGCCGUCGUCGGCUACUACUAGACCUUUCUUCAGAUGGACGGCUAGUACAUCACGGAUAUGACCCGGCUUCUGUACACGGACACGAUCUGGAUACGGACAACACGAUGCUAGCUCUCCCGGACUACACCUCAACCUGAUUGGAUCUUUGUGUAGAGUUACUUUGACCAAAUAAAUCAAAAUUUUCAGUUUA
Homalodisca vitripennis (glassy-winged sharpshooter) is the source of this 254-nucleotide long non-coding RNA. RefSeq lists it as uncharacterized. The transcript has 2 exons. The record is from RefSeq and is a predicted model, not a curated record. Lineage: Eukaryota; Metazoa; Arthropoda; Insecta; Hemiptera; Cicadellidae.